Long non-coding RNA from Sinocyclocheilus grahami, 1251 nucleotides. RefSeq lists it as uncharacterized. The record is from RefSeq and is a predicted model, not a curated record. NCBI's taxonomy places the organism in Eukaryota, Metazoa, Chordata, Actinopteri, Cypriniformes, Cyprinidae. The transcript is spliced from 5 exons.
UGUGAGAAAGUUACAGAAUGAUUGGCAGUUUAAAUGGGGGAAAUUCUUUAGCAGAGACAUUUUUUUCUGCCAUAUUUAAUGCACAUACCCUACCUAAGACCCCUCACGGGUUUUCACAAUUCACAGAAACUCUCUUUCAUCUCUGCUGCAUCUCUCGCUUCAUUCACACAUUGCUGUUGUAAAGCAUGAGACAGAAAUGGCAGCCGUCUCUAAAAAUGGCAUUUGGUGUGAAGAUAAGACUCAUUACAACAAUCCUUUGAUCAUACUGCAUUUUACAGAAGAACAAAAAAUAUGUGUACAUACUCAUAACAUGGUCUCCAUAUUUCUUUCAGGAGCUCAAUUUGUCCUUCUGCACAGUUUUGGCAAGAAAAAGCCAUCUGAAGGCAUGAAUGUAGAUAGAGCAUCGGUCUGUGGUUUAUGACAGAGAACCUACGCAACAAACAGCAAAAGGUCUACGGGUUACAGCAAAAGCCUACGCUAAAAGGAAAUCGCACACUUUUACGCAGAGAUGUUUAUUUGUGUUGCCAUUGUGGGCCGCUCUCAGUGCCUCACCACUGAACUACAGGCCUGAGAGGAAGUUUCCAGUGCGGUUACCAUGACGAGGGUCUUGGAGUCCAGGAAAUUCAGGUAGGAAGUUUUAAAAUAAUUUUCAGUGUUAAGAGAAAUGACAUCCAAGAGGGACACAGACAAACAUUUGUCCAGAUGAGCUGCGGUAACAGGAUUGUGUUUGGACAGGAGCUUCUCUCCGCAGGGAACAAGCUUUAGGAACAAGCUGAAGAAAUUGAGAAAUACAUGCCGGCGGUUAUUCUGAAAACGUCUGUUUCCCACUGGAAUGAAGCUUUUACAGCCUCCUCGGUUGGAGAGAGAGAGAGGGAUGGAAUGAGAAAGAGAGCGAGUAAAACAGUGAAUCAUGAGUGCAGCUUUGAACAACAAGGGGAAAUCCUCCUAUUGAGAAGGCAUGCGCUGUGGAAACAUGCAUCACUCAUAGAGAUUUCACAGAGCUUUUCUCAAGGCUUCCAUCUUCAGGCUUGUUGGUUAGUCACAGACCACACAUGCUGGAGAAUGCUGGAAUUACACCAAAACGAGGGCAGAGCGUCUUGUGUAAGCAGUUUUUCCUUGAGGUAAUUAAAAAUGUCACAUAAGGGCUUCAUUAGUCAUGGAGUUUCCUAAUGAGAGGUAUGGGAAUGCAUUACAGCAAAAUUAGAAAAUAACAUAUGCAAAGCAUGCAUUGUUUGGUGCAUUUAUUGUUUU